AUCAGCCGCGGUAAUUCCAGCUCCAAUAGCGUAUAUUAAAGUUGUUGCAGUUAAAAAGCUCGUAGUUGAAUUUCGGGGUUCUACCGUUGGUCGGGCAAUAGUCUGUACUGGCGUGUAGAAUUUCUACCUUCUGGGGAACCAUCAUGUUAUUAAUUUAACGUGGUGGGAAACCAGGACCUUUACCUUGAAAAAAUUAGAGUGUUCAAAGCAGGCUUAUGUCUGAAUACAUUAGCAUGGAAUAAUAGAAUAGGACGGUGGUCCUGUUUUGUUGGUUUCUGAAUCACCGUAAUGAUUAAUAGGGAUAGUUGGGGGCAUUAGUAUUCAAUUGUCAGAGGUGAAAUUCUUGGAUUUAU
Molecule: ribosomal RNA, 353 nt
Filed under: uncultured Racocetra
Lineage: Eukaryota; Fungi; Glomeromycota; Glomeromycetes; Diversisporales; Gigasporaceae
Description: SSU rRNA
Rfam family: Eukaryotic small subunit ribosomal RNA
Source: RNAcentral